RNAcentral lists this long non-coding RNA (572 nucleotides) under Anser cygnoides (Swan goose). RNAcentral's name for it is "lncRNA (ENSACDG00005018756.1)". The record is from RNAcentral. Lineage: Eukaryota; Metazoa; Chordata; Aves; Anseriformes; Anatidae.
AUGAACUGCUUUUAUUGCCGUUUAAUAGACUGGCAGCUUUUCUUUAGUGAACUUGCCCUGCUAACAGGUGUUGAUCCUUCUGGGAGAUGCAGUGAUGACUCACUGCAGCAGAUGGGGCUCCUGAACUCUACCCUGCUUGCACCAGAGAUAGGAGAGCCUCUCUGGAAGACAGAUGGGUUAGUUUUACUAGGACGGAGAACAUACACAGUUAGAAGACAAUCCAGAAGAACAGUGAAGAUUUUUCUGUGUGCACUCUUCAUUCUGUCACUGCCCAAUUUUUCUCACCACAGUGCUAGACUCAUCCUUUAUUGCACCGGUGUAUUGUAUUCUGAAGAAGAUAUUGUAUUGUUCUGUCAAUACAGCAUGUUCCUUCAAGCUCAGUGUAUCUUUUUGGUAAAUAAUAUAUAUAAAGCCUCGGCCCUUUUUCAUUUGUGCUAUUAUUGAUUUUUUAUUGAGUCCUCAGAAUUUCCAAUAGUUCUUCAUCACAAGCUCAACUUACAAGGCACAGUUUGAGAUUUAAAAAAAUGUAAAAUUGAAAUAAAUAAAUAAAUAAAUAAUCUUGAAUAACCUUC